Molecule: small RNA, 29 nt
Filed under: Bombyx mori (domestic silkworm)
Lineage: Eukaryota; Metazoa; Arthropoda; Insecta; Lepidoptera; Bombycidae
Description: ovarian small RNA-32359
Source: RNAcentral
UGAUAAGUGCAAAUAAGUGCCAUCUAUAC